GGGCGCUUAGCUCAGAGGGAGAGCGCCUCUCUGACGCAGAGGAGGUCGCAGGUUCAAGUCCUGCAGCGCCCACCA
Molecule: transfer RNA, 75 nt
Filed under: Pseudomonadota bacterium
Lineage: Bacteria; Pseudomonadati; Pseudomonadota
Also listed under: 1 other name
Description: tRNA-Val
Rfam family: tRNA
About the family: Transfer RNA (tRNA) molecules are approximately 80 nucleotides in length. Their secondary structure includes four short double-helical elements and three loops (D, anti-codon, and T loops).
Source: RNAcentral